Long non-coding RNA from Archocentrus centrarchus (flier cichlid), 583 nucleotides. RefSeq lists it as uncharacterized. Lineage: Eukaryota; Metazoa; Chordata; Actinopteri; Cichliformes; Cichlidae. The transcript is spliced from 4 exons. The record is from RefSeq and is a predicted model, not a curated record.
AUGGACUUCCUUUUUGUGUUUGUGUUUGUUUAUGUUUUACACUGAAACUCAUGACUAUCCUGUGAUCUUCAGUCACAGAGGAAACCAAAUGUAGACCUAAGAAAAAAAGGCCAAAAACGAAGUGCUCGUACCACAGCAGACUACAGACUUUCCCAAUCCGGAAUAUAAAAGAAGAAAGAGUGAGGAAGGGCAAAGCUGAAGUUUUAGUUGACUGGGAACCCUGUCCAGUAUGUGGUGAAGAGUGGGACCUGUCCUGGAAGCCAAAGGAUUCUGUUGUGAUUAAUACACCAGUACAGACUGUAUGAAGUGAUUUUUUUCCCUUAUAUUUAUUUUGUUGUUUCCCAGCUAUAUUCAUAUCUAGUUCUUCAGCAGUAGAGAUGAUGUGAUAAGUUUAAAAAGUUGGUGUAAGUUAAAAAGUAAAAAAAUACUUUAACAAAAAAUUGAAAAAGGAAUACUUUAUCAAAAUCAGUGAACAUGCUGUCUACAUUUCUUUUUCAUAUUUUACUGUUUGUAUGUUAUUGAUUAAAUACAAUUUCAUUCUACGUUCUCAGGUGCAAUUUUAAAGGUUCAGCUAAACUUUGAA